This 460-nucleotide ribosomal RNA is filed under the name uncultured bacterium. RNAcentral's name for it is "partial 16S ribosomal RNA". It matches the Rfam family "Bacterial small subunit ribosomal RNA", at positions 338 to 795 of the family's 1533-position model. The record is from RNAcentral.
CCUACGGGAGGUAGCAGUGAGGAAUAUUGGUCAAUGGACGAGAGUCUGAACCAGCCAAGUAGCGUGAAGGAUGACUGCCCUAUGGGUUGUAAACUUCUUUUAUAUGGGAAUAAAAUGUUCCACGUGUGGGAUUUUGUAUGUACCAUAUGAAUAAGGAUCGGCUAACUCCGUGCCAGCAGCCGCGGUAAUACGGAGGAUCCGAGCGUUAUCCGGAUUUAUUGGGUUUAAAGGGAGCGUAGGUGGGUUGUUAAGUCAGUUGUGAAAGUUUGGGGCUCAACCGUAAAAUUGCAAUUGAAACUGUAGUUCUUGAGUGCGGGAGAGGCAGGCGGAAUGCGUAGUGUAGCGGUGAAAUGCGUAGAUAUUACGAAGAACACCGGUGGCGAAGGCAGUCUGCUGGACAGCAACUGACGCUGAGGCGCGAAAGCGUGGGGAUCGAACAGGAUUAGAUACCCUGGUAGUC